ACUGGAAUAGUUCAGUUGGUUAGAGCGUGUGGCUGUUAACCGCAAGGUCGAAGGUUCGACCCCUUCUUCUAGCG
This 74-nucleotide transfer RNA is filed under the name Zostera marina. It matches the Rfam family "tRNA". From Rfam's summary of the family: Transfer RNA (tRNA) molecules are approximately 80 nucleotides in length. Their secondary structure includes four short double-helical elements and three loops (D, anti-codon, and T loops). Further hydrogen bonds mediate the characteristic L-shaped molecular structure. tRNAs have two regions of fundamental functional importance: the anti-codon, which is responsible for specific mRNA codon recognition, and the 3' end, to which the tRNAs corresponding amino acid is attached (by aminoacyl-tRNA synthetases). tRNAs cope with the degeneracy of the genetic code in two manners: having more than one tRNA (with a specific anti-codon) for a particular amino acid; and 'wobble' base-pairing, i.e. permitting non-standard base-pairing at the 3rd anti-codon position. Lineage: Eukaryota; Viridiplantae; Streptophyta; Magnoliopsida; Alismatales; Zosteraceae. The record is from Rfam by way of RNAcentral.